GCUAAAGUUUUAAGAUUCCACUUACAUUUAAGAUUUCUUUGGAACAAGAUGAAACUUUUGUUGAUAAUUCUUUUUGCAAGGGCAAGCUACCGUAAGUGAAUGUCCCUUAAGAAAAACUAUGGGCUACAGCUAUCAUUCCGUGACAGAUUUGGUUGACGGGGUGCUGCCCAAACCAGACAUCAACCGACAAUCCAACAAGGAUCGACUACCCAAUAAUGAUCACAUUUCGGAUGAACCCAUUAUCGAGGCUUUACGACAGAGAAUUUACCAAAAGAUCGAAACGGUCAAGUGGAAGGGUCACCUUAAGUCCUGGGUGGAUGUCGGGGUUCAUAUGCUGAGUGGACCAAUUGGGAGAAUUAAUGAAGCAGUCAGGUUCAUGGGAUACAAUCCCACAUAUGAGCAGGUAAUGGCCAAAACCCGGCAGUUGAUAUGGGAGAAGAGCCAUAGGGCCCUGGAUAUAGUGUGGGGAAAGCUUUCCUGGCUUCUAGGUCUCAUUCAUGCCAAGAUAUUGACUACCCUAGAGCAAAAAAAGGUUGGUGGAUAUUAUUUAUUGAAGAGUUCAAAUUUCAAAGGAUCUGUGAUAUUUUUUCAUUCAGAAGCAAAAUUUGGAUCACAUGGAAGUACUUGAGGAACCGGAAAAAUUAGAUGUACAGUAUAAGGACUAUGUAUGAAGUGUAUAUGAGGGAAUCCCAAAAGUAAUGUGGAAUUUUUGAAUUAUACAAAUAUUUAUGCAUACAUCUAUCCAUAAUACUUUUAUAUUUGGAAGCAGUCCGAUAAAGUAAAAGAAAGAAACUUUUAUCAGCGAAUUCAUUCUUAAUUAGUAAAUGCAAAGGAUAUAAA
Molecule: long non-coding RNA, 840 nt
Filed under: Drosophila guanche
Lineage: Eukaryota; Metazoa; Arthropoda; Insecta; Diptera; Drosophilidae
Source: RNAcentral